GACACAGUAACAAUCUGAUCUCUCUUGCUGUUCCCCACAGGGCCGAGAUCUUGCCACUGCACUCCAGCCUGGGUGACAGAGUGAGACUCCAUCUCAAAAAAAAAAAAAGUGUGCUCUGGGCUGGGCGCAGGGGCUUACAACUGUAAUCCCAGCACUUUGGGAGGCUGAGGCAGGAGGAUCGCUUGAAGUCAGGAGUUUGGGAUCAGAUCCUAUCUCUAGAAAAAUGAUUUUUAAAAAUUAGCUGGGUUGGUGGUGAAUGCCUGUAGUCCCAGCUACUCAGGAGGCUGAGGCAGGAAGAUUGCUGGAGCCCGGGAGUUCAAGGCUGCAGUGAGCUAUGAUCAGGCCACUGCACUCCAGUUUGAGGGACAGAGAGAGAUCCCAUCUCCCUAAAGAACAAAAAAGUGUGCUCUGGUGCCACACUGCCUGGUUAGAUCCUUUGUCCACCACUUAGAUGCAUGUUAUAUAAAUGCUGUCUUCAAUUUCCUCAUCUGUAACUUGGGGAUGAUAAUGCUGUCCCAUGAAGUGGUUGUGGGGACUAAAUGUACGUGGGCACAUUGGUAAGUAUUCAACAAGCUUGAUUUUUCCUGGAGAGGGAGAAAGAGCAUACAGUGAAGUGGCAUGGUCAGGUGCAUUGGGGCAAGGAUUAUUUCCUCUGGCUUCUGCCUCCUGGGAGGUACUAAGGAUGGAUCUGAAAUGUGUCUGCAGACCCCAGAGUUGGGGACUGCAGAGGGAAAUUGAGAUCAGGGACCCCAGUCUGGCAGAAAUGGGUGCAGCAUGGGGCAUUGGGUUCCUUCCAUCAGAGGCAUGGGGUGUGUUGCAGACAGUCAUGAGAUGUGGCUGAAUCUUGCAAGGGAGCCACUGUCCUAGGGUUGCUGCUUGAGACAAAGACCACUGUCAGUGGAACCUGGUGACCUUCACCCUUCUGUGUCAGGCUGCAGACAGCAAGAGAUGGCAGCAGAUUACACCCAACAGGAAAAGGGCCAUUGCUAUCCCACAGGUUGCCAUAGGAGGGGAUGAUAUCUCUUCCCUCUCCUCCUCCAGCAGUGUCAGCUGGGGAAGAGGUGGGUUGGUGUGCACAAAAGAGUAGACCGCAGACCAUGCUGCUUCUCCUCCAGUCUGCUGGGGCCCCAAGAGAGUCUGCAGCCCUUGGCCAGGGACCGGCUGACACAGGAGAACAAAAGAUCUCAGGCUGGGAUAACAUGGUGGUGCAGUUCAUCCUCUGGAGCUCCCUGUGAGAUCAGACUGGAGCCAGUCUCCAGCUGAGACCACAUCUCACUUAGCUCCUUCCCUGCCAUAUCCUGUUUUCCUUACUCCUAUCUCCUGAGAGUCCUGAAUGAAUUACAUGCACUCAAUCCGUGCCUCAGGCUCUGUUUUUCGGGAACUUGACCUAAGACAGAUAUCUUAGUACUAAAUACUUUGCAAGGCUUCAGAAGCUCUGCUAUCCACAGGCAGGUGAGAUAUUACCUUCCCUACCACCUGGCAGUCAUAGUCUAUGAUGCAACUCAGCUUUGUGGAAGUGCUUCUCUAAAGAACUUCCCCCAAUUUAAGAUGAUCUUAAUUUGCUUACUUGUUUACUGUCCAUUCAGCUGCUCUAAAAUGUGAGCUCCAAAUCAGGGACCAUGUCUGGUUGGUUACCCAUUUCCUGGGACCUAGAACGGGCCUAGCUCAGAGCAGGUGCUCACUAUUGAUGGAAUGCAUGUUGAAAGAAUGCAUGAAUCUCAUCUCCUUUUGUGGGUGAAAAUCUCAUCCUAUUCUCACUCCUGAUUAACUUUCUUUCUUUUUUUUUUUUCAAAACGGAGCCCUGAUCUGUCACCCAGGCUGGAGUGCAAUGGUGCCAUCUCAGCUCGCUGCAACCUCUGCCUUCUGGAUUAAAGCAAUUCUCCUGCCUCAGCCUCCCGGGUAGCUGGGAUUACAGGUGCACACCACCACGCCCGGCUAAUUUUUUGUAUUUUUAAUAGAGACAGGGUUUUGCCAUGUUGGCCAGGCUGGUCUCAAACCCCUGACCCUGUGAUCUGCCCGAUUUGGCCUCCCAAAGUCCUGGGAUUACAAACAUGAGCCACCGUACCCAGCCACUCUUGAUUAACUUAAUGGAAAUAUUUAGAGAUUCUUUCUUUUCUGGGUUCUAGAGUCUUCUCUGUAACCUCUGCAGGUAAUACAUUUUCCUUCCUGAUAAAGCAUUUCUAUGGUUGCUUUCACUUGCAAAUCCUCUAAUACUUAUUUAUUCCAUUUCUGAUUGGCAUUAGACAUAAUUCUCAAUUUUUAGUGACAGCACUUUUGUUAACUUACAUAUAAAUCGACUUUGCCUUGAAAUGUGACAUUGACUAGAAGGACGACACUUCUAACAUGUUGUAGAACAUAGUUUGACUGGCUAAUUUAUUAUUUAGAAGAAGCUAAUAUUGCCAUUAUGAGGGACUUAGGUGGCUCUGAAGAACAAGUUGUAUUUCUGAUGUUUGCAAUGUUAAAUCACAGAUAUUGCCAAUGUGAAAUAGUUUCCGUAUGCUGUGUUCUCAAUACACACCUUUUCCAAGGAUAUCCCAAGCUGUAGUCUUAGGAAACUGUGAUUUUUCUUAUUUGGUCUCAUAGGAAUUUGGGGAGCUAUGCGGGAUCUCCAUAAAAUGAGCUCCAGAAAGACACAUGUGUGCGCGCACACACACACACACACACACACACACUCACACAUGUACCGCACCACAAUUGAAUCUGUUUAUUUGGGACCCAUGAUUAUUUUCAACAAACACUUCUGAGAAAUAAUCUGAACACUUAAUUGGAUGCAAAAGAGUGAGUAUUUACUAUUCUACCCUUUAAUUAGCAUAAUCAAUGUUUCCAGCAGCAAAAGCAAUUGGAAAAUCGCUAGUUUUAUUAGGUUCAUUAUUCUCCCUUAGCGUAGUGUGGCAUCAGCAUGGCUAUUAUUCUUAAAUUGCCUCCUUAAAACAAGGGCUGGUGCUUCUUACAGGCCAUUCCUAACUCUUGGGUUUUGUAGAGAGUCCAAAACUCUUUAGAACCUAUAAUUCAAGGAAAGGCUCCACUUUGGUUUUGCAUUUUGUCUGGUCUCUUUGGCUGACAGAAUUUAUGUCAAAAGGUGCACAUGUUUGUGGGAGGCUCAUGGACAGCCCAUCACGUUUGUGCUUUGGUAGGAAGUACGUGCCAUUAAGGGGAAGGAGUUAGUUACUGAUUCUAGGGAACAAUUGGGUAGAAAGAGAUGGACUCCCUGUGUUUGAAAUUCAGAACUCAAGCUUGGCUCUAAGUGUUUCCUUGCUUUGCUGUGCUCCAGGGGAGUCCUUGAGCAGAAGGAAGCAAGUUGCCUGAGAUUCUUCAAAGCCCGCAGCCCUUUUGGAGGUUAGAUGGUUAUUCUCAGAGCCUUUAUGAUGCAUAAUAAAGACCUAGCUUGGACCAAUAUUAGGAUGAGUUAUCUUGCUAUUAACAUUCUUUUAGGUAGAAGUUGCUGGUCCCAUCUUGCUCACAAUCCUCCAAAGUUUGAAAGUUAUUUUCCAGGAGACUUGGCUUGCACUGAGAGCUGCCCUCCCACCCUCUCUCCAAAUUUCCUCUUGGGGGUAGCCUAACAAGGUGCUGUCACAGACCCUUGUCGGCCACGAUGACCCCACCCAGACCAUCCCUCUGCUGUUUCACUCUUUGAUAGUCUCUGGAGCUCUCUGGGGAGGGGUGAGACCUGCCGUCUAGUUUGUAUGGUUUGCCCAGGUCUUACAGUCAUGGCUGGCUGCCUCUCUCUGAGAACUAGAACUCCUGAACUUGGUGAAAGACCUCAGCCAUCGAUCAUGUUGAAUUAUCGGGGACACUCAUUUGAAAUCCGAGCCUGUUCCAGAUAGACUCUCUCUCUUUCUGCCCUGACCGUGAGAGAAGCCCUGCUGGACGGUGGAGACACUCGUGGGCUGUGAGCAAGGGAUGCAAAGGCUGCCGGGAAUCCCAUCUUUCCAGCAUCAUCUGCCAAGGCACAUUAGUUCCUGGGUAUCUGGAUGGGUUCUAGCAGCAUUACUGUCAUUGAAGGAAAAAUUUUAGCCAUAUUAAAGGUUAAUGCAGCAAUCUCCACAUAGGCUGCCUGGAAGGGAAGCAGGACAAGGUUAGGUUUUCCUUGUGAUGGACAGGAGGCAGGCGGCCCUCCCACAGCCCUGCCUGGCAAUACAGAUGUGUCCCCAAAAGGCACUGGGGGCCAGCUGGAGUGCUAUGCCGAGGCGGACUGACCCGGGCCGUGGGUUCACUCUGCUGGCAGCGGUUUCCCGCCAGCUCCUUGCAGAGUUGGCAGAUGGCCCAGCCCCACAGCAGGAGCCGGGAAUGGCAGAACGAGACACAACAAUUUGAUAUCCACUUGCCAGAUGAGCCGGGUGUCAUCAGUCGCCUGGCUCUAUGCCCAACCUCUUUUUGCAUAAACACUUAUGGAUUCAGCCAAGAGGAAAAGCACUCUGAUUAUGAAUUGAGCAGAAGGAAACAAAGUUCUGCAGAUAAACACCAAUGAAACAAAAAACCACGAAUAAGAAAAAUGACAGAAAAGGAGAACCUUCCCAGAAUCCUCCUGCCAGUGAACGGUCACCAGAGCAAGAGCAUGGAGUCCCUGGGUUUUGAACUGUGAGAUAAGGAAGAUGAUGAAAACCUCCCUAGCAGCCAGGAAUGACGGACGCUGGGGCUUUGAUGGGCACCGGGUGAAAUGGGCAGAGUGGCGCUUACCCGGGAUGGCGGUGAAGCGGGACCGGGAGGUCAUCGUGACAAAGGGUGGCAUGAGGUACCUGGCCUUGACGCCCUCCCCGGCUAGACGGUCCAGAUUGGGGGUGUCCACAUCCUGAUCCUAGUCCCAGCGGAAGCCCUGGAAGGAGAUCAGCAGCAGCUAAACUCCUGGAGGGCAGAGCCAUGCCUGCCAUUUUCAUCAUUGCAUUACCACCACCCAGCACAGUGCCUGGUACAAAAGAGUUGCUCAAUAAAUAAAUCAGGAUGAAUGGACAAAUACACGGAUAGGCACUUUGAACUACAGAUGAGCUUAAAUACUUUGUGUUUUUCUUAGUCAAACAUGUGCAAUUAAGCAUGUGAUAAAUUAUAUGAUGACCACACCUGUGUCUUGCCUGAUGUUCUUUGCAAUCACUAAACAAAGUCAAUUUUGCCUGUUUUGACAGUUCUGUUUUCAACCUAAUGAUCCGUUUCUUUUAACUUCUGGCUGUUGGCUUUGUUUGGGUUUGUUAGCCUGACAAAGUGGCAGAUAUUGGUAUUUGCUCUUUUGUUUAAAUGUCACGAACUUUAAAAAUGCCUUUGCUUUUGGUAAGAAACCCUAGUUAGGACAGUCUAGUGGUCAGGAUGAUUUGGGUUCUGAUGCAGUAACAACAACCCCCAAAUCUCAGUGGCUCCAUGCGGUGAGGUAUUUGUUAGUUUUUGAGACAGGGUCUCACUCUGUCACCCAGACUAGAGUGCAGUGGUGCAAUCUCAGCUCACUGCCACCUCUGCCUCCCAGACUCAAGUGAUUCUCUGCCUCCUGAGUGGCUGGGAUUACAGGCCCGUGCCACUACUGUCUGGCUAAUUUUUUUACUUAGUAGAGACAGGAUUUCACCAUGUUAGCCAGGCUGGUCUUGAACUCCUGACCUCAAAUGAUCCACCUGCCUUGGCCUCCCAAAGUGCUGGGAUGACAGGUGUGAGCCACCAUGUCUGGCCACAAUGAGGCUUAUUCUUGGUCAUGUUGCAUGUCUGGGCUGUGUUAGGGCAUUGUGGGGUGGUCUGUUCAUUGUGUUCACUCAGGGAUCCAGGCUGACAAAAGCCCCAUCUCUGCAUGUGUCCUUGAUCACCACUUCAGGGGAAAGGGAAUGUGCUGGAUCACAGAGCCUCUUAACACUUCCACCUGGAGGUGACUCAAGUUGCUCCUGCUCAUGGUUCAUCGGACAAAACGGAUCACAGAGUCAUGGGCAACUUCUCUGUGCCUGGAAGGGGAACCAAAAUAUGAAUAGCUACAUUGAUUUUCCCUAGCUAUUACACAGAAGGCCUCAUUUAAACACAGUUACUUAUUUGUGUUUUGAAGCUAAUUGUAGUCCAUCAACCUUCACAGAAGAUAUGUGCACUUCUAAGCUAUUAUUAAGCACAGUUUUUUUUUUCUUUUGAGACAGAGUCUCACUCUCUUGCCCAGACUGGUGUGCAGUGGCAUGAUCAUGGAUCACUGCAACUUCUGCCUCCUGGGUUCAAGUGAUUUUCAUGCCUCAGCCUCCCAAAGUGCUGGGAUUACAGACACCCACCACUGCACCUGGCUAAGUUUUGUAUUUUUAGUAGAGAUGGGGUUUCACCAUGUUGGCUUGGCUGGUCUGGAACUCCUGACCUCAGGUUAUCCACCUGCCUUGGCCUCCCAAAGUGCUGAGAUGACAGGCGUGAGCCACCGCACCCGGCCUUGAGUAUGAUUUUUGAUUGGGAACGUCAGAGUUACGGUUUUAGUCUGAGGACAGUAUGACGUGAAGGUGAAAAGUAGAGCUUGGCUGUGAGUUUGCUGGGAUUCCUGUGCUACUUCUACAGUUCUUCGGCUGUGUGACCAUCACCUUUG
This 6517-nucleotide long non-coding RNA is filed under the name Homo sapiens (human). RNAcentral describes it as "HSALNT0059899". The record is from RNAcentral. Lineage: Eukaryota; Metazoa; Chordata; Mammalia; Primates; Hominidae.